Diospyros lotus (date-plum) is the source of this 3541-nucleotide long non-coding RNA. RefSeq lists it as uncharacterized. The transcript has 3 exons. The record is from RefSeq and is a predicted model, not a curated record. NCBI's taxonomy places the organism in Eukaryota, Viridiplantae, Streptophyta, Magnoliopsida, Ericales, Ebenaceae.
UAAGUUUUGCUGGUUCGUGUGAGAGAUUGUGUCCCAAUUAAUAUCGUGCAAAGGUGAUAAGUGCACGUUAGGAUAGGAAUAGGAGUUUGCUUUUGGAGGUGGAGGUGGGCAAGACGAAGAGGAGUACCUCGUGAGUUAUAUGUAUUGGCUUGACGAGUUGUUUCAAGAGUCGAUUCACGAGAUCUUUUGGGGACUGUCAGAGAGACAAGUCAUGUUCGCCCGUGAGCACAUGAAGGACAUGUGGAGGCGACUGACUAAAGUAGUGAUGAAUGAUGUGAGACUUUGUUCCCAUUAUGAUAUUUUUGCCGAAGCGGUGAGGUAACAAGUUGCCAUUUGGGAGUCUUCCUAGGGACCGGUAUAGGACUUGCCUAAUAGUGGAGCACAACCUGGCACUUAGUUAGUCAAAGCCACUGUGAGGGUGUCGUCAUAGCCACUAGAGGGACCCGUUGAACCCAGUUCUAGCGUAGCUAGCAAUGAGGACUUAGCGUACCUGGCAGAUGAAGUUACCUCGGUUGCCAAGGGUGACGAGGGGAGUUUUAGUUAGUAUGAUUGGUAGGGGGCUGUAAUGCAAAUGUGUGGUUGUAAAUUACGAGUUUUAUAAGGAUGAGAAUUAUGUGAGAAACAUCAUAUGCAAUGUUUGAGGGUAUUAUGUAAUGAGGUCGUGGUAGAAUGUGACCUGGAGGUUCAUGAUUGAAUUUUGCCAGGAGUGAUACGGGAAGGUCCCACCAUGUGAAAAUGUGCUAUAGGAGUUCGAUGGUUAAUGGUAGAUCCGUAGGCACCGAGAUGUGUGCUUGGUGUGAAUGUAUUUACGAUAAGGCUAGGGUCAAUCUUAUUCCAAGAGAGAUCUAUGAUAGGAAGUAACCGAGGGACUAUUACAGGAAUUAUGGACUUGGAGUUUACAGUGGUUAUGUUAUUUGGAGAUUUAGCAUCACGACCUAAAUAGGGUAUAGGUCUUUAGUUCUCACAGGUGAAGUAGAGUUCAGGUGACGCCGCGAUUGGCGUGUCGAAAGACUAAGGCUGUGAGGUUCUGUAACAAAUAGGGUAAAGUAAAUGUGGUAACAGGUGUUUUAGGCUAUCGUGGUGCAUCCGUGAUAAUGUGAAUUAGAAGUAAGGAAAACCCCUCUACGUUUGGUGUUGUGGGAGAUACCCCGGUGUAUGGCCACGGCCGAAAUUGGAUACAGGUCUAAGUAACUAUUGGGUUCUGCUGCAAGGAUAGUAGUUGCUAUGAGUACGCGCGGUGCUAAUCACGGACCACAUGCCCUAGGGUCGGAUUAUUGACCGAGAGAGGAGAUGAGACUCCUUUGGGUGCUGGUCAAGUGGUACAUCGGCAAAAACAUGAGAUGGCUUGUUAUGCCAGUCAGAGGAACGCUUAACCCACAUCUUUAGGUUGCUUUUCGUUUUUGAGGCGACUUAUGAGAUGUCGUGGGAAUGGAAUAGUUUCUGAUACGGUGAGGUGUUUUUAGUCGUACAGGCUAUAGAGUAAAUAAGAUCGGUUCUAAAGAUCGAGUCCCAACUACCGUAUAAGGUUUUGAGGAGGUCAGGGUUAAUAUUUAGUGAUCGAGAAGAAGUAUGGCCAAUUAGCUAUUUGGAGUUAAGAUCGGCGGCAGGUCAAGAUUGAGGGUUGGUGGUCACCGAAUAAGUCAAAAUUAGGUGUGUUGAUUCCUUUAAGGAGGGGAGAUCUGGCGACAUUUAAGAUCUCGAGGUGUAUUGAGGGGGGAACGUGUAACCUUUGAUAGUUCUGAUUAAAUGGCUACUCAUGUUUAUUAACAGGACCCCGAACAUACGCGGCAAAUUGUGGGAGAAAGUACUGCCGAGAAAAUGCUAUGUAUCUGGUUAAGAAUCAGUUGAAAAAGUCAGACUAAAGGAUAUUGCUGUUGAAUCCUUGAUUGAGCAUGUGGUAUCAUUUCCAUGUACCUAUGUAUCGCAAGUACGUGGCAGGUUUUAGUCACGUUACUGAGCAUUAAUUUCUCGUCAUGUAAGAGAAUGGCCCUACUCCUAUCGUUAUCAGUUGAGUUAUGAGAUGGUAAUAGAGGAACCUUGAUGAUGUCUCUUAAGCUGGUUAAGGUAUUAGUGGUCAUAUCGUGGCUCUAUUGAGGUGAUGGAUUGUGAAGUUGUGCUAGUGUGUUAAGUCAAUGGGAACUGGAAAAUGAUGAUAUGGAAUGUUCCAGAAAUGUUGAUGAGUAAUAUCAUGAGAAUUGUGAGUGUAUCUUGAGGACAUGGACUGAGCGCGAAUUUCGAGGACGAAAUUCUAUUAAGGAGGGGAGAACUGUAAUAUCCCGAAAUUUCGGUAAUGAUAUUAAUUAUUAAAUUUUGAUUAAUUAUUAAAUUUUGGCAUUUGAGGAUUUAAGCUAAUCAAAGAGUGGUAAAAAUAAUACUGCUAAUAAUAAAAAAUGUGUAAAUUAUGUUAACUUAAUUUGAAUUAAUUAAUUAAUACAUAUUGAUAAUAUAAUCAAAAUAAUAAUAAUGAGUUAAGAAAUUAACUUAAAUUAAUUAAUUAAUAAGUUUAAUUUGUGGCUGUGGUGCGCGUGAAUGGCUUGGAGGCCAAGAUUGACACAGUGACCUUCUCCAAAAAAAUCUAAACACAGAGAGUGAGAGACAGAGGGAGCGAGCAGGGAGAGAGCUCACGAGAGAUUGAGGGGGAGAGAUCGAGACCGAGAGAGAUUGAGGGGGUGAGAUCGAGACCGAGAGAGUGAGGAAGAGAGAUCGAGAGAGAGGGAUGGCCAAUCGGCCAUGGCAGCCACUGCCAUGGCCGACGAGGAGCAGCCGCGGCUUGAAGAAGUCGCGGCCAUGGCGACGUGAAGCAGCGGCAGUUGGGGCGGCGCGGUGGCGCGCGGUGAUGGCCGGAGGCAGGCCCGGCGACCAGCGGAGGGCCGGACAGUGAAGGCCGGCCGCAGCCAUGCGUGGUUGCAGGCGGCCGGAUGCGUGGGAGGAGAAGAAGGAGGCAGCAGCACGGGGAAGAAGAAGAAGAAGAAGAAAGGAAGAAGAGGAAAAUGAAGAAGAAAAGAAGAAGAAUGAAAGGAAAGGAGAAGAAGAAAUGGAGUUGCAGGCGCGGGUGAAGCAGGGAAGAAGAAGAAGAAGAAGAAGAAGAAGAAGAGGAAGAAAAUAAAGAAAAAAAUAAAGGAAUUUUGAGAUUUUUCAACAAGGGAAGUGAUCAGGAAAUGAUUUAAUUUGCCUCGGGAGCUUGAGAGAGGUCAGAAUCAACUAGUUCCAGGCAAUGGCGGCGUGGGCCAUAGCAAGGGAGUCAGCUUUAACGGCAGAGUCGGUGUGGUGUACAGGCAGUCUCGUCAAUCCCUAUCAACUCUGAUGUCUAAGUAGAAUUUUACUCUAUUAUUUCGUACUGUGCCAGGUGUUUUCUCGAGUCUUGUGUAUGUCGGCACAGAAGUUUUUGUUUAUUUAUUUAUCCUGUGACCGCUGUGUUAGCGGGGUACCCAUAGUGCAUGCAUGUCUUGAGCUUUGCUUCCGCUGUUCUUAUUUUUUGUGUAUGCAUGCCAGGGUGGUCUUUGUCUGGUGUCUCAUUCUUUUCUCCUCCCGUAGGCGCUCC